This 506-nucleotide ribosomal RNA is filed under the name uncultured bacterium. RNAcentral describes it as "partial 16S ribosomal RNA". It matches the Rfam family "Bacterial small subunit ribosomal RNA", at positions 29 to 523 of the family's 1533-position model. The record is from RNAcentral.
AGUGAACGCUGGCGGUAGGCCUAACACAUGCAAGUCGAACGGCAGCACAGGAGAGCUUGCUCUCUGGGUGGCGAGUGGCGGACGGAUGAGGAAUACAUCGGAAUCUACUCUGUCGUGGGGGAUAACGUAGGGAAACUUACGCUAAUACCGCAUACGACCUACGGGUGAAAGCAGGGGACCUUCGGGCCUUGCGCGAUUGAAUGAGCCGAUGUCGGAUUAGCUAGUUGGCGGGGUAAAGGCCCACCAAGGCGACGAUCCGUAGCUGGUCAGAGAGGAUGACCAGCCACACUGGACCUGAGCCACGGCCCAGCCCCCUACGGGAGGCAGCAGUGGGGAAUAUUGGACAAUGGGCGCAAGCCUGACCCAGCCAUACCGCGUGGGUGAAGAAGGCCUUCGGGUUGUAACGCCCUUUUGUUGGGAAAGAAAUCCAGCUGGCUAAUACCCGGUUGGGAUGCCGUUACCCAAAGAAUAAGCCCCGGCUAACUUCGUGCCAGCCGCCGCGGUAA